Oncorhynchus tshawytscha (Chinook salmon) is the source of this 1720-nucleotide long non-coding RNA. Lineage: Eukaryota; Metazoa; Chordata; Actinopteri; Salmoniformes; Salmonidae. The record is from Ensembl.
ACACACACACACACACACACACACACACACACACACACACACACACACACACACACAGAAAGACACACAUAAUCAGGCACAUGCAUUUUUACUUGAUAGCACGGACAAACUGAUACACUCAAGUAGACAGACACAGACACACAUUUAUCAAAACACAUACACAUACAAAUACAGUACACAAGAUCACCAAUACAAGAGUAAUGAGGAGCGGACAGCCGAGAGACAGAUAAGGAGAAGAGUGACGAGGGUCAGGCUAGUUUAGCUGGCAGUGGGCUUGCAGACCUCCACUCCGCCGCCACACAGAGCCCAUGGCAGUGGCGUUUGCUUGCACAGGGCGUAAAUCAUUUGACUCUGUUGAUGUGGAUUAAUGUAACCUUUGGCCCCCUCACUCCCUCCAUGUUCGGAGACAGGAACAUUGGCCCCUGUAAAGCCGGCCCUUGAUGGGCAAAAUGCAGGGAAUUCAUAUCAGCUUUCAAAGGCAGUAUGGAAGCUGUCGUGGAAGCUGUCAUGGAAGUCGUCAUGAAACGUUAACAGGGUGAGAGGUGGUUGAGAGGCAUUGACCAGACACAGUUCGUAGUUCACAUACCCUCAUCAGGUUAUCUUACAGUUUUUUCCAACUGCUUACACACAAAAUCUUUUCAUGUCACACGAUUUUUGAAACCUCUCACUCAAAGUGCAAAACUACACACCAAAACCAUUAGCUAUUUCUCAGCCUUUGACUCAGUUGUCAAUUGCAUAAAACACUUUUUUCGAAACACUACUCACAAUUCUCUACCUAAAACACAAAAAUCGAACAGGAAGUGACUUGCUUUCCUUUUCCAAACACAACCAAUCAAAAUGCUACACUUAUUCACCAGGUCACACACACAUACUCCUCAUAUGUGCAAACACUAAUAGCUUAACUGAUCACUAACCAAUCACUGCUUUACUGUAGUAUAGGCCUAUAAACAGGUCAAAGGUCAGAUUACCUGUUUUGAACAAUGGAUGCCAACAAUGGACAGAGAGCAAGAGGAGUAGGAGGGAGAUGAAGAGGAAGAAGAGGACGAGGACAAAGAAGAAAAGGAAGGAGAGCCAUCUCUGAUGAGAUUAGGGCAACACUUGUUGAUCAUGUGAUCAACCACGGUUUGACCAUGAGAGAGGCACAUCCUCCAUCACAAUGCCACACUGAGUCCGUACAACACCGGCCAUAUGCUCACUUUUCUGGAUGCAAUUUACACAAUGCUUGUCCCUGAUCCAGAUCAGGAGCCUGCUAGAUUUGUGGUUUUACGGGACAAUGUUAGUUUUCACCGGGCUGUUCUGGUCCAAAACUGGUUUGCCACCCAUCCACAAUUUGUAGUUUUGUACCUACCCCCAUAUUCACCUUUUCUAAAUCCCAUAGAGGAAUUCUUCUCAGCCUGGCGCUAGAAAGUGUAUGAUCGCCAACCCUAUGCCCGCAUGCCGCUUCUCCAGGCAAUGGAGGACGCAUGUGGGGACAUAGAGGUUGCCUCUGUCCAAGGUUGGAUACGCCAUGCUAGGAGAUACUUCCCUCCAUGUGGGGACAUAGAAGUUGCCUCUGUCCAAGGUUGGAUACGCCAUGCUAGGAGAUACUUCCCUCUAUGUGGGGACAUAGAGGUUGCCUCUGUCCAAGGUUGGAUACGCCAUGCUAGGAGAUACUUCCCUCUAUGUGGGGACAUAGAGGUUGCCUCUGUCCAAGGUUGGAUACGCCAUGCUAGGAGAUACU